AGGUAUACCUAAUGAAGUGGGCAUUGGACACAGACGACACACGACUGGACACAGGAGCCACUGUGCAUGUCAAGUGCUCAAGCGUGUCACAGGAAGUGAUCCAAAGCAGUGGGGUCAUCGAUCCUUCUUCGGAGCAGAAUGGAGAACGACGGGAAAGCCAGGGGGGUGCUGGAGCCUAUCCUAGCUGUCUUUGGACGUGAGGCGGGGUACACCCUGGACUGGUCGCCAGCCAAUCACAGGUCAGAUAUCGACAAACAACCAUUCACACUCACACUCAUACCUAUGGACAAUUUGGAGUCGCCAAUUAACCUAGCAUGUUUUUGGAAUGUGGGAGGAAACCCACGCAUGCACGGGGGAGAACGCGCAAACUCCACACAGAGAUGGCCGAGGGUGGAAUUGAACUCGGGUCUCCGAGCUGUUAGCCCGGCUAACCACUCGGGUCGCGGGGGUGCUGGAGCCUAUCCUAGCUGUCUUCGGGCGAGAGGUGGGGUACACCCUGGACUGGUCGCCAGCCAAUCACAGGAGGUCCUGGCUGACCAACUCCACCAGAGAUUCCGGCUGCACCCUGAAAGACAGAAUACCAUAAAUAGCUGCAAAGAGGAGCGGGCGCAAAAUGAAAGCAGAGAAGAAGUGGAGAAUUUGGUCCCGGGUCGCAGGGGCAGCAGUCUCAGUAGGAAAGCCCAGAUUUCAUGGUCCCCAGCCACCUCCUCCAGCUCCACCGAGAGGACACCAAGGUGUUCCCAGGCCAGCUAGGAAACAUAAUCCCGCCCCCCAGCGUGUCCUACGUCUGCCCCAGGGUCUUCUACCGGCUGGGCAUACCCAGAACACCUCACCAGGGAGGCGUCUGGACUAGAUGUCCGAGCCACGUCAAGGUUCUUUGCAGGACAAGUAACAUAAAGAAGCCCAGAAGUACAGAGCCCAGAGGGAGGCUGACGUCAUUGCAGCGCCUCGAUGACUGCGUUGCUGCGUUAAAGGGGCCUGUUGGGUGGCCCAGGAGGUCCCACAGGCCCUGGCAGCCCCACAGGUCCGUGUUCCCCAUCUUGUCCAGCUGGCCCCACGGGUCCCUUGUCUCCCUGAAGAACAAAGCCAUCCAAUCUGUUAUGCUCACAAAGCAUCAUCAAACUGGACUGGGAAUUUUGGAAAAAUCUUACCGGUUCGCCUUUAUCUCCGAGCGGCCCUGCGGGGCCCACAUUGCCAGGCCGCCCUGGCUGUCCUAUAGCACCAGCUGGCCCGUCGGGUCCCCUCUCUCCGGUGGCGCCCUAGGGGUACACUCAUUGUGAGCGACUCCGAGUCCGAGACCGUGGACAUACUGAGCGGCUGAUCCAGGUAGUCCUUGCUCACCAGGUGGUCCUGGUGAACCAGGAUGACCUCUGUCUCCAGUGGGUCCAGUUUCACCAGAUUUUCCCUACAGUACAGUACAGUACAGUUUUCAAGUAGUAUUGGAUGGUGGUAAAAUAUAAGUAUAGGUAAGUAUAACGCUCUUACCUGUGGUCCUACAACACCUGGUGGGCCUGGAGGACCAGUUUUGCCUUGGAAGCCCUAAUAAGUACAAACAUUUAGGUCAAAUGUUGUUAGCUUAGAGGCCCAUAUACAAAUAUAUUUAUAAUAUAUACAUUUAUUUAUAAAAUUUAUAAUAUGAAAUGUAUUUUAUUUUAAUUUUGUAAUGAUUUUUUUCAAUAAAUUGCAAUAUUUUAAAAUUACUUUAUAUAACAAAACAAAUUAAAAUAUUUAGAAUAAUACUGUUUGUAAUACAAAAAUAUAUACUAAAAAUAGAAAUAAAUUAACAAAAAAUAAUUUAAAGAUGAAAAAAUAUAUGAUAGGGCUGCAAGGUGGACCCGUGGUUAGCACGUGGGCCUCACUGCUAGGAGACCCGAGUUCGAUUCCACCCUCGGCUAUCUCUGUGUGGAGUUUGCAUGUUCUCCCCAUACAUAUAUUCCAUUUAUAUUUAUUUAGAUUUUUAGUUUUAUAUUUUAUAUAAUUUUUUAUUUUUAUUUUAUUUUGAAUUUUUUUUAAAUAAUUAUUUAAUGGUCAUUAAUUUCUCUGGGUAUUCCGGCUUCCUCCCACAUUCCAAAUAACAUGCUAACUCCAAAUUGUCCAUAGGUAUGAAUGUGAGUGUGAAUGGUUGUUUGUCUAUAUGUGCCCAGUGAUUGGCUGGCCACCAGUCCAGGGUGUACCCCGCCCUCUCAGCCAAAGACAGCUGGGAUAGGCUCCAGCACCUACCGCAACCCUCAUGAGGAUAAGCGGUAGAAAAUGAAUGAAUUAAUGAAAAUAUAUGAUAAAAAUGUAUUGUUUAUAUGUGAUUAUAUUGUCAUUGUCUCAUUAAACGGUAGCAUUGGUAUCACCUCACCUAUUUUUGAGGGAAAAAAAAUCUACAUUUAUCUAUUCAUAUGGACGACAGACCCAGCGAUUGACUAAUGCCUGGCAUAUAUUAGAGUGGAAGACAUGCUGUAGUUUAAUUAAAGACGUGAGUUAUGUUUUUUUUUAUCCUUUGAAAUGUCAUAAAGUCAAAGUCUGAAACUUUUUUGUACUUACAGGCUCGCCUCUCUGGCCAGGAUGACCCGGGAGUCCAUCUUUACCAGGCGGACCCUGAAAAUGUGUUUUUUUUUUUUGUUAUUUGAAGUAAAUCAAAAUGUAUAAAAUAAAUAAAAUGUCUACUUACAGUUGGUCCUUUUGGUCCUGUUUCUCCGUGCCUUCCCUGUGGCCCUUGGGGACCCUGAAGCAAUAAAUAAAAUACAAUAUUUCUUGUGUGACUCAAAUUAAUGAUAGUUUUGAGCGGAGGUUAUCGAAAAUGACCAUAGUAUUCUGGCACUUAUGAGUCAAGACAUUACCAGUUCCCCAGGGGAUCC
This is a non-coding RNA of Doryrhamphus excisus (bluestripe pipefish), 2846 nucleotides long. The record is from RefSeq and is a predicted model, not a curated record. NCBI's taxonomy places the organism in Eukaryota, Metazoa, Chordata, Actinopteri, Syngnathiformes, Syngnathidae.